Long non-coding RNA from Psammomys obesus (fat sand rat), 3043 nucleotides. RefSeq lists it as uncharacterized. The record is from RefSeq and is a predicted model, not a curated record. The transcript is spliced from 3 exons. NCBI's taxonomy places the organism in Eukaryota, Metazoa, Chordata, Mammalia, Rodentia, Muridae.
UCUACCGCUCUGAUCUACCCCUCCCCCAGCACGAACACCCUCGGUGUCCGCCUUCCCGGACAGACAAUCCAGCUCUGGAGCUGCUGCCUAAUGGAGUCCGGGCGCUGGCGUCACAGGAAAUGCCUAUACUGCCCUCCUCGCUCACUUCCGGCAGCAGGUAUGGAACCUAUAGGGGGCUGUCACCCAACACGUGUGUGUCGGGCCGCCGGGGGAAGGCGCCGGGGUGGAGGCGGGGGCCGCCGGGGGUCCGGCCCCGGGGGGCCGCGACCCGGCGCGACCCGCCCGGGCUGCUGCGCGCUCCGCCCUGGCUCCCGGGCCUGGCGUGCGAGCUCGGCCCGCGGAAGGUUCGCCGCCGCCCUCCGAGGCCCUCGGGUUGGGAGGUAGAGUUCGUGUCCUCGCCGUGCACCCGGAGUGACCCAGAAAGCAGCGAUCGGCCGGCGCGGAGGGGGCCGCAGACGCGCAGGCAUGGGCCAGGGUGGGGCCGCCGGCAGCCUGGUUUUGCAGCUGUGACUUCAGGCACGAGGCUGUGCUAGGCCCCUGUCCAGUGCCGUCGGGCUCUGCACCCAGGAUUUCACCACCGCCUCGUUUUAGGGUGGAAACUCUUGAACUUCCACAGCCAAGCACAACACAGCAACAGCAGUUGCUGCGACCGUGUCACCCCGGGACAAGGCAGAGGAGACCGUGCUCCACCCUGGGAACGCGAAGUCGUCUGUAACUGCCUUCCCUUUGGGAGGAAAAACAAUUCGUGGGGGAACGAACUUACAAAGAGUUGAGGGUGUGUAAGGGAGCGGAGGCGCUUUGCUGUGGACUUUUACUGUUUUUGUUUUGUUUUUCUUUUAAAUGCUUGCUCAGGUGGCUUGGUCCUGUUUCCUGCCACCACUUAGAUAGGGAGGAUUCAGGCAUCGAUUCAUAUCCCUGGCUUGAAAUUUUCAGGUGACCCGUGUUUCACAGUCCCAGAGCUUUAAGAUGCUUUCUUGAGUGGAGAACUACAGCAGCAGAGAACCAAGCUGUAUGUUACUCGGUGGUGAAUGGUCCACGGGACCCCUAAAUACGUAGUUUGGUGGUAGUAUGUAAACCUGGUAUGUACAGGUAUUUUUCUCUGAACUUUAGAAAUUCUCGGUGACUUCCCUUUGGGAGCAAAAACAGCAAUAACAGCAACAACAUAAAACAACCAAGCCAAAAAAAAAAAAAAAAAAAGCAGCCUCAAGCAAUACAUCUUACGUUCCUUAAAUUUACAAUACCCACAGCUCGGUAAUUUUGAGGCCUUUGGGGGUAGAGCCCUUUUUAAUUUAGAAGUGUAAUAAAAAUUGUCCUAUGAUUUGUCAAGAAUGCUGAGCUCUAGUCAUCUUGAGACUAAGAAGGAAAGACAGGAAGGCCAGGGCAGUCUUACAGAGAUUUAGCUUUGUGGUUCUCAUGCUUUAAAUAUACUCUCAGGUGUAAGCUGUAAUUGCAAGGUGACUCACAUACCGUGUUUGUAUUCACCUGAGACAGACCUUCGUUUUAGCCGAGGUUCUUGGGGUACAGACAGUAUAUCCAGCAGAGCCAGAAUUACCAGAUAGUUAAUGCCUUCAUAGAGCCCUGUGUCGUAAGUAACUUCAGAAAUCUCAUCCUGAAGGUGGUGGUUGUUUAGGCAAAAUUUACUUCCUGCAAAGUGAUUUAUAGUAAUCUACUAGGUUCCUAGCAACCUUGAGGGUGGAUCAAAUCUGCAGCUUAGUUUAAAUAAAGUCUAGAGCUUUUAUAAAGAAAUGAACCAUUUAACUGAGGCCAGGCUUACACUCAUUAACAAAAGAAGGAUGAAAGGAACAAUAAAUAGAGUUUCAUUGCCAUCUAGUCUUAAUAUUUAUAUUUCACCUUUCCUUUUGCAUAACAAAGACUGCUUUUAAAAUUUUUUGAAUGUACAUGUUUUUAUCUAUAGUUGAACAGAUUGGGAACUUGUUGUCUGACCUCAAGGUCUUUUUAGAGACAGGUUUCAGUUCCACUUGCCUGUGAAUAAUUUUGAAAUACUGUUCUGCACAUUCAGAAACCUUUAGUAACAUUAUGUUACCCAUAGGUUAUUAAGAAUCUAUCAUUGUCUUGUGUUCCCUUGUGGCUCUGGUCUUAUUUCAGUCUUUCUUUUUGGCUAGUUCUCUUCUUAAAAGCUUUUUGUUUUUAUUUUAUUUUUAGUUAACUCAUGAGUUAUGUGCUACAUAGUAUACACUGUACCUUUAUGAAAAACUUAAUCUCUUGCCAUCUCUGAACCCCUCCUUACUGUCACCUGAAUGUGCCCAGCUUGUUUCUUCUGAAGAAACCCCUGUCCUUUCUACCAGUCUGAUUGUACGGAAUUUCUCUGUCAAGACUCAGCUUCUUGCAGCCCCUUGGGAGUGUCUCCUGGCUUCCAACCUUCUCGCCUUUAUUACAUUCCACCUGUGCGGUGAGCAGUCAGUAGAGAGGGCUUGAGGACACCAGCUGCAUCUCACGGGGAAGAUGGAGGCCUGUGAACUCACAAGCGAACAUGCAUAAACCUCCGACCCAGAGAAAAGUAGCCUUUCCUCGGUAGUUGUCUCCAGCUGUUCGGAGACCCACUGGUAUCAAUAAUAAUGUCUGGGGAAGUUUUCUGAAGGAAAUGACUACACUAACAACUUUAUUUUUCAUACAUCACAGCUGAGAGGUCGAUUGGAGUAGUUUCAUAAUUGGCACUAACCUGUGACACUGGCAGUGGCAUUUGCUGCAGCACAGUGUCUGAACGGAAGAGGAGUUUACCAGGGCUGGGAAGGACACAGAGGCCAGGCACUGUGCUGCCACAGAAGGGCUGUUACAAACACUGUGUAAUAGGACUUUUCUUGGGAAAUGAGAAGGCGUGCAUGCUUACAUUCCUGGCAGGACAGACAUGUAGACCAUGACUCUUUGUGGAGGGAUUUAAGUGUCAACAGGUUUUAUUUGGGUUAUGAAAAUUAGAGAUAAAUUUGCCCUUUUUGUAUUAAUGUUCUACUUCUAAACUAGUGUUUUAAAAGAACACUCAAAACAAACAUAAUGUGGGAAGUUGCUCCUAAUAAAACAUGGCGGG